CAUGUGAUUCUAUUUUGUUGGUUUCUAGAACCACCGUAAUGAUUAAUAGGAAUAGUCGGGGGCAUUAGUAUUCAAAUGUCAGAGGUGAAAUUAUUGGAGUAUUUGAAGACUAACUAUUGCGAAAGCAUUUGCCAAGGAUGUUUUCAUUGAUCAGGGAAUGAAAGUUAGGGGAUCAAAGACGAUCAGAUACUGUCGUAGUCUUAACCAUAAACCAUGCCGACUAGGGAUUGGUCAGUGUUUUUUUGUGACCCGGUCAGCACCUUACGAGAAAUCAAAGUCUUUGGGUUCCGGGGUGAGUAUGGUUGCAAGGCUGAAACUUUAAGGAAUUGACGGAAGGGCACCACCAGGAGUGGAGCCUGCGGCUUAAUUUGACUCAACAUGAGGAAACUCACCAGGUCCAGA
This 402-nucleotide ribosomal RNA is filed under the name uncultured fungus. RNAcentral describes it as "SSU rRNA". It matches the Rfam family "Eukaryotic small subunit ribosomal RNA", at positions 827 to 1228 of the family's 1831-position model. The record is from RNAcentral. Lineage: Eukaryota; Fungi.